CCAAGGAGUCUGGCACGUGCGCGAGUCAUUGGGUCGCUCCGAAACCUAAAGGCGCAAUGAAAGUGAAGGCAGCCUCCGGUUUGCCCAGGUAGGAUCCCGGUGGCUUCCGUCUCCGGGCGCACUACCGGCCCGUCUCGUCCGCACCGCGGUGAGGCGGAGCAAGAGCGCACGCGCCGGGACCCGAAAGAUGGUGAACUAUGCCUGAGUAGGACGAAGCCAGAGGAAACUCUGGUGGAAGUCCGCAGCGGUUCUGACGUGCAAAUCGAUCGUCGAACUUGGGUAUAGGGGCGAAAGACUAAUCGAACCAUCUA
This 311-nucleotide ribosomal RNA is filed under the name Chiton kurodai. RNAcentral's name for it is "eukaryotic LSU rRNA". It matches the Rfam family "Eukaryotic large subunit ribosomal RNA", at positions 666 to 946 of the family's 3401-position model. Lineage: Eukaryota; Metazoa; Mollusca; Polyplacophora; Chitonida; Chitonidae. The record is from RNAcentral.